Molecule: long non-coding RNA, 4527 nt
Filed under: Equus caballus (horse)
Lineage: Eukaryota; Metazoa; Chordata; Mammalia; Perissodactyla; Equidae
Description: lncRNA (ENSECAG00000048543.1)
Source: RNAcentral
CCUAGAGUAGUAUAAUGGCCUUAUAACCUACCACCUUUUUUUGUUUUUUAAUUACAUUGAUCAUUACACAGUAAAGUUGAGCAUGUAUGUACAUUACAGCUCAGCAGUAUAUAUCUGAGUGAAACUCUUCCACUUGUGAACUUUGAGACAUGUACAAGCUUGUUUGGAUAUUGUUGUUGUUAAGUAGCAAACAAAAAAAGAGAGAGAAGGAGGAGAAAGAGAGAAAGAAGGACAGGGGAGGAGGAAGGAAAGGGGACCACCCAAAUGUCCAUUAGCAGUAAAAUGGUUAAGCAAAUAGUGGCAUACCCAAGUAAUGAUGGAGCAGUGAAAAUGUUUCAACUACGGUAAUUAGUGUGGAUGAAUCUCAAAAACAUAAAGUUGGAUAAAGAAAGCAACUCACAAAAGAAUACAAGCAGUAAGAUUCCUGUACGAAAAGUUCCAAAACAGAAAAAAUAUGUUCGAAGGUAGUAAAAUUUAAAGAAAAGCAAGGGAGUGAUUAUUAUGAAAGCAGGAUAGUUGUUAACUCAGUGAAUUGAUGCUUCAUUGUAAAUUUAACUUGUAUUUCCUUGAUUACUAAUGAGACUGACUAUCUUGUCAUUCAGGUUUCCUCUUUUGUCAGGUACUUUUCCAAGUAGUUUUUUCAUUUUUUAUUUGAGUUGUUUGUCUUUUUCUUAUUGUGUCUAUGUAUUUAGGAAUUAUUUGUCAGGUAUAUUUGUCCUUUGGCUUUUAAUUUUAGUUUUUCAAUCCUGUCUUUGAAGAAAAGUUCUUAAUUUUAAUGUAAUUGAAUUUAUCACUGUUUUUCUGCUUUAUCUUUUACUCCUUUGUGGUCUGUGACACAGUGGUUAGUAUGAUCUUUUAAGGCACAAAUCAGAAUUUAUCAUUCCCCAGCUUAAAAGCCUCAAUUGCUUUUCAUUGCUCUUAGAAUGAAAUCUGAUUUUACCAAAGUCUAAAAGAACCAGAAGGAUCUGCACCCUGCCUGCCUCUCUGACCUUGUUUCUUACUACUUGUCCUAUUCAUUUUAUUUCAGCCACACUGACCUUCUUUCUGCCACUGUUCUUUGUCUGGAAUAGUCUCCCUCGAGAUAUUUGCAUGUCUGGCUUGUCAACAUUUGAGUCUCAGCUAAAGUAUGUCCUCUUAGAUUGGCCUUCUCUGAUCACUACAUCUAAAUAGCUCCCUCCCCUCCAAAUGCUGUCUCUCCUUUACCCUCUUUAAUUUGUCACUCUUUCAUAAUCCUAUAUUUUCUUAGAAAUUUGUUUAUUCUGUCCCCCCAUUAAAAUAUCUUCAUGAGAAGAAGGAUUUUACCACUUUUGUUCAUUUUCUAUCUCCUGUGCCUUGAACUGUCUCUAGCAAUAACAUAGACACUCAAUAAUAAAUAAACUAUGAAUGAAGGCUGUCCCAAGACUAUUUUUAAAAAGUAAUCUAACUCUACCUGGAUCAUUCUUUUGAAUAUUUAUCAGAAAGGGAAAGACACAUGGCUCUUCCCAAGGUGUUGAUCUCUAAUCGUGUCACUUUUCUCUUCUUUGAAAAUUUCAUACCUUCCUUUACCUCCCCAAACCUCUCUUUCCCAACACUAUUCUUUAUCCCUUCAUGCUCGUUAAAUGACCUUGUGUCAUAGUUCAGAGGAAAUAGAAGCUAUCAGAUGAGAAUUAUCUCAAAUUUCUACCACCAGUUCUAUAAACCACCUUCCUUCUUCAUCCAUCUUCUCUUUCCCUCCUCUAACUAUAGAAGUAGUUCCCUCUGAUCAAAGGAAGGUCUCUCUGUCUGUGAUCUGGAUUCCAUUUACUUCCGCUUUCCAUUGAUAUUUACACAUACUGAAUUUUCUCCUAUUAGACAAGUAAAGGUGUCUCUGGGUCCUUUCUCUUUCCUGCUAUGCCCUUUCACUCUCAUCUCCCAUUUGCUCCUUAGUCCUCUUCACUGUACAGCUCUUACUAGUGUCAAAAUUGAACUUUAUAAAUCAUACAGACAGAAAAUCAAUAAGGAAAUAUUGGUCUUAAAUGACACAUUAGACCAGAUGGACUUAAUAGAUAUAUGCAGAGCAUUCUAUCCCCAAACAGCAGAAUACACAUUCUUUUCAAGUCGGUCGGAACAUUUUCCAGGAUAGAGCAUGUGUUAGGCCACAAAACAAGUCUCAGUAAAUUGAAGAAGAUUGAAAUCAUAUUAAACAUCUUUUCUGACCACCAUGGUAUGAGACUAGAAAUCAACUACAAGAAGAAAACUGGAAAAAACAAAACAUGGAGUCUAAACAACAUGCUGCUCAACAACCAGUGUGUCAUUGAAGAAAUCAAAGAGCAAGUAAAUGAUACAUGUCUACCUAAGGAAGUAAGAAAAAUCUCAGAUAAACAGUCUAAUCUUACAACUAAAGGAACUAGAAAAGGAAGAACGAACAAAACCCAAAGUUAGUAGAAGGAAGGAAAUCGUAAAGAUCAGAGCAGAAAUAAAUAGAAACUGAAAAAAUACCAUAGAAAAGAUCAAUGAAACUAAGAGCUGGUUCUUUGAAAAGGUAAUUGAUAAACCUUUAGCCAGACUCGUCUAGAAAAAAAGAGAGAGGCCCCAAAUAAGUAAAAUCAGAAAUGAAAGAGAAGUUAUGUCUGACACCUCAGAAAUGCAAAUAUUGUGAUAUUACUAUGAACAAUUAGAUGCCAGCAAAUUAUACAACCUAAAAGAAAUAGAUAAAUUCCUAGAAACAUACAGUCUUCUAAGACUGAAUCAGGAAGAAAUAGAACAUCUGAACAGACUGAUUACUAAUAAUAAAUUGACUCAGUAGUCAAAAAACUCCCAAGAAACAAAAGUCUAGGACCAGAUGGUUCCACAGGUGAAUUCUGCCACACAUUUAAAGAAUUAAUACCUGUACUUCUCAAACUAUUUCAAAAAAUUGAAGAGGAAGGAAUGCUUCCAAACUCAUAUUAUGAGGCCGACAUUACCCUGAUACCAAAACCAGACAAAGACACUACAAAAAGAGAAAAUUAUAGGCCAAUAUCCCUGAUGAAUGUAGAUGCAAAAAUCCUCAGCAAAAUAUUAGCAGACUAAAAUCAACAAUGCAUUAAAAGGAUCAUACACCAUGAUUAAGUGGGAUUUUUCCUAGGCAUGCAAGGAUGGUCAGUAUGCACACAUUAAUCAUUGUGAUAUGCCACAUAAACAAAGCAAAGAAUAAAAAUUGUAUGAUUAUUUCAAUAGAUGCAGAAAUAGCUUUUGACAAAAUUCAACAUCCAUUUAUGGUAAAAAUUCUCAACAACGUGGGUAUAGAGAGAACCUACCUCAACAUAGUAAAGGCUGUAUAUGACAAACCCACAGCUAAUAUCAUAUUCGAUGGUGUAAAGCUGAAAGCAUUUCUUCUAAGAUCAGGAACAAGACAAGGAUGCUCACUCUCACUACUUUUAUUAUAUUGGAAGUCCUAACACAGCAAUUAGUAGGAAAAAUAAAAGCCAGCCUGAUUGGAAAGGAGUAAGUAAAACUGUCACUGUUUACUGAUGACAUGAUACUUUAUACUAAAUAUAUAUAUAUACUUUUUAUUUUAUAUAUAUUGUUUAUAUAUAUAUAUACACACACACUAAAAACUCCACCAAAAACUAUUAGGAUAAAUGAAUUCAGUGAAGUUUCAGGAUACAAAAUUAAUAUACAGAAAUCUGUUGGGUUUCUAUACACUAAUAACGAUCUAUCAGAAAGAGAAAUUAAGAAAACCCUCCCAUUACAAUUGCAUCAAAAACAAUAAAAUACAUAGGAAUAAAUUUAACCAAGGAGAUGAAAGACCUAUACUCUGAAAGCUAUAAGACAUGGAUGAAAGAAACCGAAGACAAAUAAAUGGAAAGAUGUAUUGUGCUCACGAAUUAAUACUGUUAAAAUGUCCGUACUACCCAAAGCAAUCUACAGAUUCAGUGCAACCCCUAUGAAAGUACCAUUGGUAUUUUUCACAAAACUAGAACAAAUAAUCCUAAAAUUUGUAUAGAACCAUAAAAGACCCAAAAUAGCCAAGCAAUCUUGAGAGAGAAGAAAGCUGGAGGUAUCAGAUUUCCAGAUGUCAAACUGUACUACAAAGCUAUAAUAAUCAAAACAUUAUGAUACUGGCACAAAAACAAAUGCAGAGAUAAUGUAACAGAAUAGAAAGCCCAGAAAUAAACCCACAAAUAUAUCGUCAAUUAAUCUACAACAAAGGAGGCAAGAAUAUUCAGUGGGGAAAAGACAGCUGUUUCAAUAAAUGUAUUCGGAAGACUGGACAGCUCUAGGCAAAAGAAUGAAACUGGACUACUUUCUUUCGGUAUGUGUAAAAAUAACUCAAAAUGGAUUAAAGACUUAAACGUAAGACCUGAAACCAUAAAACUCCUAGAAGAAAACUUAGGCAGUAAACUUUUGACAUCAGUCUUAAUAAUUUUUUGGAUCUGUCUCCUCAGGCAAGGGCAACAAAAGCAAAAUAAACAAAUGAGACUACGUCACACUAAAAAGCUUUUACACAGCAAAGGAAACCAUCAGCAAAAUGAAAAGGCAAUCUACCAAAUGGGAGAAUAUACUUGCAAAUGAUAUAUCUGAUAAAGG